AAUACGUAGGUGGCAAGCGUUGUCCGGAAUCACUGGGCGUAAAGCGCGCGCAGGCGGCGAUCUACGUCUGGGGUGAAAGCCCGGGGCUCAACCUCGGGACUGCCUUGGAUACGGGAUCGCUUGAGAAUUGGAGAGGCAAGGGGAAUUCCACGUGUAGCGGUGAAAUGCGUAGAGAUGUGGAGGAACACCUGUGGCGAAGGCGCCUUGCUGGCCAAUUUCUGACGCUGAGGCGCGAAAGCGUGGGGAGCAAACAGG
RNAcentral lists this ribosomal RNA (255 nucleotides) under uncultured prokaryote. Its description in RNAcentral is "partial 16S ribosomal RNA". It matches the Rfam family "Bacterial small subunit ribosomal RNA", at positions 522 to 776 of the family's 1533-position model. The record is from RNAcentral.